RNAcentral lists this ribosomal RNA (468 nucleotides) under uncultured bacterium. RNAcentral describes it as "partial 16S ribosomal RNA". It matches the Rfam family "Bacterial small subunit ribosomal RNA", at positions 28 to 507 of the family's 1533-position model. The record is from RNAcentral.
GACGAACGCUGGCGGCGUGCUUAACACAUGCAAGUCGAACGGAAAGGCCCUGCUUUUGUGGGGUGCUCGAGUGGCGAACGGGUGAGUAACACGUGAGUAACCUGCCCUUGACUUUGGGAUAACUUCAGGAAACUGGGGCUAAUACCGGAUAGUAGCUCCUGCUGCAUGGUGGGGGUUGGAAAGUUUCGGCGGUUGGGGAUGGACUCGCGGCUUAUCAGCUUGUUGGUGGGGUAGUGGCUUACCAAGGCUUUGACGGGUAGCCGGCCUGAGAGGGUGACCGGCCACAUUGGGAAUGAGAUACGGCCCAGACUCAUACGGGAGGCAGCAGUGGGGAAUAUUGCACAAUGGGCGGAAGCCUGAUGCAGCAACGCCGCGUGCGGGAUGACGGCCUUCGGGUUGUAAACCGCUUUCGCCUGUGACGAAGCGUGAGUGACGGUAAUGGGUAAAGAAGCACCGGCUAACUACGUG